UACGAAGGGGGCUAGCGUUGUUCGGAAUUACUGGGCGUAAAGCGUGCGUAGGUGGUUUGUUAAGUCUGUUGUGAAAGCCCCGGGCUCAACCUGGGAAUGGCAAUGGAUACUGGCAGGCUAGAGUGCGGUAGAGGGUAGUGGAAUUCCCGGUGUAGCGGUGAAAUGCGUAGAGAUCGGGAGGAACACCAGUGGCGAAGGCGGCUACCUGGACCAGCACUGACACUGAGGUACGAAAGCGUGGGGAGCAAACAGG
RNAcentral lists this ribosomal RNA (253 nucleotides) under uncultured bacterium. RNAcentral's name for it is "partial 16S ribosomal RNA". It matches the Rfam family "Bacterial small subunit ribosomal RNA", at positions 524 to 776 of the family's 1533-position model. The record is from RNAcentral.